Molecule: ribosomal RNA, 301 nt
Filed under: uncultured bacterium
Lineage: Bacteria
Description: partial 16S ribosomal RNA
Rfam family: Bacterial small subunit ribosomal RNA
Source: RNAcentral
CAGUCGCCGCGGGAAUACAGAGGGUGCAAGCGUUAAUCGGAAUUACUGGGCGUAAAGCGCGCGUAGGUGGUUUGUUAAGUUGGAUGUGAAAGCCCCGGGCUCAACCUGGGAACUGCAUCCAAAACUGGCAAGCUAGAGUACGGUAGAGGGUGGUGGAAUUUCCUGUGUAGCGGUGAAAUGCGUAGAUAUAGGAAGGAACACCAGUGGCGAAGGCGACCACCUGGACUGAUACUGACACUGAGGUGCGAAAGCGUGGGGAGCAAACAGGAUUAGAGACCCCUGUAGUCCCUGUCUCUUAUAC